This is a long non-coding RNA of Syngnathus typhle (broad-nosed pipefish), 2067 nucleotides long. RefSeq lists it as uncharacterized. Lineage: Eukaryota; Metazoa; Chordata; Actinopteri; Syngnathiformes; Syngnathidae. The record is from RefSeq and is a predicted model, not a curated record. The transcript has 3 exons.
CGUCAAGGUGCGAGCGCGGCCUUUUCCACGACAUCUGCACCGUCCGCUCGUCGGCGAUGUGAAAGGUCAAAUCGGACGGCGGCUCCACUGCACAAAAAGAGCCAAACGAAAACGUGUUGAGGACGGCACACGCGCGCGAACGGACAUCAAUCCAACACUUUGGAGUUGAAUUGACCAACUGGCACGUCCGGACGCCUUCUGCCACGACCGCUACGACAAGGAGCAGAACUGUUCUUGUUCACAACAACGCCAAGAGACACAGAGGUGAAAGGUCAAGGGUGGGGAGGAGGAGGAGGGGGAGGUCUUACCUUGGUCCUGGGCCGAAGAGGCGAGCACCAGCGCCAGCAGCGCCGCGGCCACCAGAGGCAGCCCACUCUUCAUUAUGGCUUCCUGUGGCUCACCACAGCUCGGACGACGGCUGCCAACAGCACCGCCGCCACCGCCGAGAUGACGACGACCACCGCGACAUGUGAGGAGGAGGAGGAAGACCGGGGCGACAUGUGAGAACGCAGGAGAUGCUGCCGCAAGAGCGCAAAGGGGGAGAAGGGGAAAGAGGCGCACAAGGAGGUAUAGGAAAGGAAAGAUGAGGAGGCGGCAACGAGGAACGAGAAGAAAACGGGCGAAAAAACCAGGAGGCGCUUUGAGAAAAAAGAAAGAAGGAGAAAAUGAGGAGGAAGGAGGAAAGAACGGGACUAAGGAGGUAAUUGCAGGAAGGAGAAAGAGAAGGUGUAGGAAACGAGAGAAGGGAGGUAUGGAAAACAGGAGUACGACAGGACCGUCCAAAAUCCAGCAUCUCAUUUGAUCAUCUGAAAAUAUCUUUAGGCAUUCUUUUCUCAUCUUCCCAAAUCCCCCCAAAAAAGAGCAUUGUGCCUGAUGAAGAAUAAACUGGGGAAGCAAGAAGAAAACGGGAGGAGAAGAAGUAAAAAGAGCAAGGAAGGAAGGAAGGGAGGAAAGGAGGGCAGAAGAGAAAUUCUGUGUACCUGCGCGCGGACGUCAACUGAAAUAUUUGAAGAGGGCAACUUUUCCACAAGAGCUGACACAACUUUGCCCUGAGCGAGAGACGAAGAAGAAAAGAAGAAAAAAGAAAAGUCGGCGGACGUGGAAUUAGCAGACGUCAUCACACGCAGACAUAUGGGAAAACGUCCUUAAUGGUGGUGAAGAUGUGUACCAACCUGAAGUUCGGUCUCCAACUGUUCACCCACCGAGAAGAGGAGGAAGAUGAUGAUAAUGAUGAUGAAGGAGGGGGGAGGAGAAGAAGGAAGGGGAGCUCGUGCGCUUCUCGGAGGUGUUCCGAGCUUCUGGUCGCAACUCGGCGGGCGUCGUCGAAUUUUCCUCCAAGUGGGCCGAGCCUCCCCUCCGCGCCCUAUUUAAAAGGGGGAGGGGGGUUAAGGGGGCCGGUUUGCCCACCCAGCGGACCACAAACACCAAAGUCACUCUAGGAAACUUUGAGACGUCUCACAUGCGCUCAUUGUUUUGUGCCGAUUCAGCACAUCAAGCCAAUGACUUCCUCUAUAAAUCAAAAUUCAUUCAUCAAGACUUAUAAGUGGUCACCUUGUCAAGAGCAAACCUUCACGUGCUCGACAAAGGUUCGAGUCAGGACGAAUAAUUGCUACAGUCUACGCGAUGGCGCCCUCUCGUGGCCACCGCCAGAAGCGCCGCGAGGGGCUGCCAACUUCGCCUUGAGUACUUGACGACGGUUCCGGGAUGUCUCCACCAGCAGGAAAUAUGGAAUGAGUCCUCCACGUUCCUUCCGGGGACCCACUUGACGUUGUUUGUUUGUGAAGCAUCCGCAAACAUUUACCAGGGGGGAAAAAAAAAUGCAUCUCUUGCAUAAUGCUCAAGGAAAAAAAGAAAAUCGAAUCAAAAAACAGCAAGCGGCAGCAGUUGGCUCAUGAGACGUUUAAUUGAUCUCGCACAGAAAUAAAUAUUGAUCCCAUGAACAUGACAGGAACAACAUGACUAUCAACAGGACGUGAAGGUGGAGUCCAGCCUACUUCCAGGCUUUGGCAGCUUUCAGGAGCUCGUACAUCACGUAACCCACACCUGUGCAGCGCAACACAACAAGAA